RNAcentral lists this ribosomal RNA (460 nucleotides) under uncultured bacterium. Its description in RNAcentral is "partial 16S ribosomal RNA". It matches the Rfam family "Bacterial small subunit ribosomal RNA", at positions 338 to 795 of the family's 1533-position model. The record is from RNAcentral.
CCUACGGGAGGCAGCAGUGAGGAAUAUUGGUCAAUGGACGGAAGUCUGAACCAGCCAUGCCGCGUGCAGGAUGACGGCUCUCUGAGUUGUAAACUGCUUUUGUACGAGAAUAAUCGUUCUUACGUGUCUGGAUUUGAAUGUCUCGUACGAAUAAGGAUCGGCUAACUCCGUGCCAGCAGCCGCGGUAAUACGGAGGAUUCGAGCGUUAUACGGAUUUAUUGGGUGUAAAGGGUGCGUAGGCGGUGGGAUAAGUUAGAGGUCAAAUGUCGUGGCUUAACCCCGUGCCUGCGUCUGAUACUGUUAGACUAGAGAGCGGAUGCAGCAGGCGGAAUGAGUAGUGUAGCGGUGAAAUGCUUAGAUAUUACUCAGAACACCGAUGGCGCAGGCAGCUUGCUAAGCCGCAUCUGACGCUGAUGCACGAAAGCGUGGGUAGCGAACAGGAUUAGAUACCCGAGUAGUC